GUGUCAGCAGCCGCGGUAAUACGGAGGGUGCAAGCGUUGUUCGGAAUCACUGGGCGUAAAGGGCGUGUAGGCGGCCCGCUAAGUCUGAUGUGAAAUCCCGGGGCUCACCCCCGGAAGGGCAUUGGAAACUGGCGGACUCGAGUCCCGGAGAGGAGGGUGGAAUUCCUGGUGUAGCGGUGAAAUGCGUAGAUAUCAGGAGGAACACCGGUGGCGAAGGCGGCCCUCUGGACGGUGACUGACGCUGAGACGCGAAAGCGUGGGGAGCAAACAGGAUUAGAUACCCUGGUAGUCCACGCUGUAAACGAUGAGCACUAGGUGUCGUGGGUAUUGACCCCCGCGGUGCCGGAGCUAACGCAUUAAGUGCUCCGCCUGGGGACUACGGCCGCAAGGCUAAA
Molecule: ribosomal RNA, 395 nt
Filed under: uncultured bacterium
Lineage: Bacteria
Description: bacterial SSU rRNA
Rfam family: Bacterial small subunit ribosomal RNA
Source: RNAcentral